RNAcentral lists this ribosomal RNA (456 nucleotides) under Triticum aestivum (bread wheat). RNAcentral's name for it is "partial small subunit ribosomal RNA". The record is from RNAcentral. Lineage: Eukaryota; Viridiplantae; Streptophyta; Magnoliopsida; Poales; Poaceae.
AUGGACUACUCAAAUUUGCGUCGCCAAAUUACCUUCAUGAAGAAAAGUUUCUUUGAUCAGGGUUACCUUGAUGAACAGUUCAAUCAGCUGGAAGAACUGCAGGACGAAUCAAGCCCCAAUUUCGUUGAGGAAGUUGUGGCUUUGUUUCUGAAAGAUUCGCCGAGAUUGUUGUCAAACAUAGAACAAACAAUUGGGAAGUACCCUCAGGAUUUCUACCGGUUAGAUUCUCUUGUGCACCAGCUCAAAGGCAGCGGAUCCAGCAUUGGAGCAGUGAGGAUGAAGAACGAGUGCUCGGUGUUUAAGGCACACUGCAAUGACAGGAAUCUGGAAGGAUGCCGCAGGUCACUGCAGAAGAUGAAGAGGGAGCAUGCCACUCUGAAGCAGAAGCUGGAGUCAUAUUUUCAGUUACUGCGGCAAGUCGGGCCUCGCGAGCAUGCCGUGAACUCAAGGAAGUAA